Molecule: ribosomal RNA, 404 nt
Filed under: Actinomycetes bacterium
Lineage: Bacteria; Bacillati; Actinomycetota; Actinomycetes
Description: Actinobacteria bacterium partial 16S ribosomal RNA
Rfam family: Bacterial small subunit ribosomal RNA
Source: RNAcentral
UGGGGAAUAUUGGACAAUGGGCGCAAGCCUGAUCCAGCCAUGCCGCGUGAGUGAUGAAGGCCCUAGGGUUGUAAAGCUCUUUCACCGGUGAAGAUAAUGACGGUAACCGGAGAAGAAGCCCCGGCUAACUUCGUGCCAGCAGCCGCGGUAAUACGAAGGGGGCUAGCGUUGUUCGGAUUUACUGGGCGUAAAGCGCACGUAGGCGGACUUGUAAGUCAGGGGUGAAAUCCCGGGGCUCAACCCCGGAACUGCCUUUGAUACUGGAAGUCUUGAGUAUGGUAGAGGUGGGUGGAAUUCCGAGUGUAGAGGUGAAAUUCGUAGAUAUUCGGAGGAACACCAGUGGCGAAGGCGGCUCACUGGACCAUUACUGACGCUGAGGUGCGAAAGCGUGGGGAGCAAACAGG